CCUACGGGAGGCAGCAGUGGGGAAUAUUGGGCAAUGGGCGCAAGCCUGACCCAGCAACGCCGCGUGAAGGAAGAAGGCUCUCGGGUUGUAAACUUCUUUUAUCAGGGACGAAGCAAGUGACGGUACCUGAUGAAUAAGCCACGGCUAACUACGGGCCAGCAGCCGCGGUAAUACGGAGGUGGCAAGCGUUAUCCGGAUUUACUGGGUUUAAAGGGCGUGUAGGCGGGAAAGGAAGUCGUAUGUGAAAACCCUGGGCUCAACCUGGGGCCUGCAUUUGAAACUGUUUUUCUUGAGUACUGGAGAGGCAGACGGAAUUCCUAGUGUAGCGGUGAAAUGCGUAGAUAUUAGGAGGAACAACAGUGGCGAAGGCGGUCUGCUGGACAGCAACUGACGCUGAGGCGCGAAAGCGUGGGGAGCAAACAGGAUUAGAUACCCUUGUAGUC
RNAcentral lists this ribosomal RNA (443 nucleotides) under uncultured bacterium. Its description in RNAcentral is "partial 16S ribosomal RNA". It matches the Rfam family "Bacterial small subunit ribosomal RNA", at positions 338 to 795 of the family's 1533-position model. The record is from RNAcentral.